This 399-nucleotide ribosomal RNA is filed under the name uncultured Saprolegniales. Its description in RNAcentral is "partial small subunit ribosomal RNA". It matches the Rfam family "Eukaryotic small subunit ribosomal RNA", at positions 30 to 432 of the family's 1831-position model. Lineage: Eukaryota; Oomycota; Saprolegniomycetes; Saprolegniales. The record is from RNAcentral.
GCUUGUCUCAAAGAUUAAGCCAUGCAUGUGUAAGUAUCAGAAGUCUGAACUUCAAAACUGCGAAUGGCUCAUUAUAUCAGUUAUAGUUUAUUUGAUAGUACCUUACUACUUGGAUAACCGUAGUAAUUCUAGAGCUAAUACAUGCGUAAAUACCCAACUGCUUGUCGGACGGGUAGCAUUUAUUAGAUUGAAACCAAUGCAGCUUCGGCUGGUAUUGUGUUGAGUCAUAAUAACUGUGCGGAUCGCUUUUUAAGCGAUAAAUCGAUUGAGUUUCUGCCCUAUCAGCUUUGGAUGGUAGGAUAUGGGCCUACCAUGGCGUUAACGGGUAACGGGGAAUUAGGGUUUGAUUCCGGAGAGGGAGCCUUAGAAACGGCUACCACAUCCAAGGAAGGCAGCAGG